GACGAACGCUGGCGGCGCUGCCUAAUACAUGAUAGUCAAGAGAAGUUUUUCUGGUGCUUGCGCCGGAAAAACUUAACGGCGAACGGGAGGGUAACACAUAUAGAAACUGCCUCAUACACUGGGACAACUAUUGCAAACUUAUAUCUAAUACCGGAUAACAUCAUUAACUGCAUGGUUGAUGUUUAAGAGUUGGUUAUGCUGACCCUAUGAUAUGGCUUUGCAGUGCAUUAACUAGUUGGUGGGGUAAAGGCCUACCAAGGCGACGAUGCAUAUCCGACCUGAGAGGGUGAUCGGCCACACUGGGACUGAUACACGGCCCAGACUCCUACGGGAGGGAGCAAUAUGGAACCUACCGCAAUGGGGGAAAGCCUGAUCGAUCAACGCCUCGUGAGUGAAGAAGGAUUUCGGUUCGUAAAGCUCUGUUGUUAAGGAAGAAUGAUUGUGUAGUAACUAGACACAGUACAGACGGUACCUAACCAGAAAGCCACUGGUAACUACAUGCCAGCAGCCGCGGAAAUACGUAGGUGGCUAGCGAUGUCCGGAAUUAUUGGGCGUACAGCGCGCGCAAGUGGUUUAAUAAGUCUGAUGUGAAAGCCCACGGCUCAACCGGGGAGGGUCAUUGGAAACUGUUAAACUUGAGUGCCGGAGAGAAAAGUGGAAUUCCUAGUGUAGCGGUGAAAUGCGUAGAGAUUAGGAGGAACACCAGUGGCGAAGGCGGCUUUUUGGCCUGUAACUGACACUGAGGCGCGAAAGCGUGGGGAGCAAACAGGAUUAGAUACCCUGGUAGUCCACGCCGUAAACGAUGAGUGCUAAGUGUUGGUCUCAUAAGAGAUCAGUGCUGCAGCUAACGCAUUAAGCACUCCGCCUGGGGAGUACGACCGCAAGGUUGAAACUCAAAGGAAUUGGCGGGGACCCGCACAAGCGGUGGAGCAUGUGGUUUAAUUCGAAGCAACGCGAAGAACCUUACCAAGUCUUGACAUACUGUGAGGACACAAGAGAUUGUGUUGUUCUGACCUUUGGUUAGACACAGAUACAGGUGGUGCAUGGUUGUCGUCAGCUCGUGUCGUGAGAUGUUGGGUUAAGUCCCGCAACGAGCGCAACCCUUAUAUCUAGUUGCCAGCGGUAAGAUGGGGACUCUAGAUAGACUGCCAGUGAUAAACUGGAGGAAGGUGGGGAUGACGUCAAAUCAUCAUGCCCCUUAUGACUUGGGCUACACACGUGCUACAAUGGAUAGGAACAAAGAGAAGCGAGCUCGCGAGAGUAAGCAAACCUCACAAAACUAUUCUCAGUUCGGAUUGUAGUUUGCAACUCGACUACAUGAAGCUGGAAUCGCUAGUAAUCGCGAAUCAGAAUGUCGCGGUGAAUACGUUCCCGGUUCU
Molecule: ribosomal RNA, 1379 nt
Filed under: uncultured bacterium
Lineage: Bacteria
Description: bacterial SSU rRNA
Rfam family: Bacterial small subunit ribosomal RNA
Source: RNAcentral